Molecule: ribosomal RNA, 366 nt
Filed under: uncultured Prevotella sp.
Lineage: Bacteria; Pseudomonadati; Bacteroidota; Bacteroidia; Bacteroidales; Prevotellaceae
Description: bacterial SSU rRNA
Rfam family: Bacterial small subunit ribosomal RNA
Source: RNAcentral
UGAGGAAUAUUGGUCAAUGGGCGAGAGCCUGAACCAGCCAAGUAGCGUGCAGGAUGACGGCCCUAUGGGUUGUAAACUGCUUUUAUGCGGGGAUAAAGCGGGCGACGUGUCGCCCCUUGCAGGUACCGCAUGAAUAAGGACCGGCUAAUUCCGUGCCAGCAGCCGCGGUAAUACGGAAGGUCCGGGCGUUAUCCGGAUUUAUUGGGUUUAAAGGGAGCGCAGGCCGGAGAUUAAAGCGUGUUGUGAAAUGUAGACGCUCAACGUCUGCACUGCAGCGCGAACUGGUUUCCUUGAGUACGCACAAAGUGGGCGGAAUUCGUGGUGUAGCGGUGAAAUGCUUAGAUACCACGAAGAACUCCGAUUGCG